AUUUGGAAGAUUGCUAGUUAUGUAUUUAUUAAAUAUAACUAGUUUUGUAGUUGUUGUUAUAUAUAUAAUUAUACUAUAUAAUAUUUGCUAUGAUACAACGAAUGCACAGGGAAUGCACGAGCAAAAUUAUUGUUAUAUAAUUAAAUUGACCGAGCAGCAUAAAACCUAAUGCACCUUUUUGAUAAUUAACUACGUCAGAAAUUUAUUUAUGAGAACGAGGUCCCAGGCCAAUUUAUAGAAAGGGCAUACUGGAAUAGCAUUGUACUGUUUCUAUUAAUUAUGAUAUUUUGGAAUAAAAAGUGUAUCAUGAGCUUAUAAAGUAUGCUGUUCAAAGUAUACGCCAUUCAAUAUUCGAUACAUAAUUUAUGUUAUAUUCGAGAAACUCAAUUCUACAUAUAAUAUUUAUUUAUUUUAUUGCGUCAUCUGAAGAUCAUAAGAUUUAAGUGCCAACAAAACAGAAGAGCAUGAAAAGAAGAAGAAAAUGAUAUGGCUGUACACAGCUGGAAUUUCCUGUACGUCGUGAUGGAACUUCAGUCGCGUUUGCUUC
Paramuricea clavata is the source of this 547-nucleotide non-coding RNA. The record is from the annotation of a GenBank genome assembly. Lineage: Eukaryota; Metazoa; Cnidaria; Anthozoa; Malacalcyonacea; Plexauridae.